AGUGCCAACGGUGGAUGCCUAGGCGCCUGAAGCCUAAGAAGGACGUGGGCGGCUGCGAUAAGCCACGGGGAGCUGCCUACCAAGCGUUGAUCCGUGGAUGUCCGAAUGGGGGAACCCGGCACUCUAAAGAGUGUCACUCCGGCCUGAACACAUAAGGCCGGCAGAGGGAACCGGAGGAAUUGAAACAUCUCAGUACUCCGAGGAAAGGAAAGCAACAGCGACUCCCUGAGUAGCGGCGAGCGAAACGGGAAGAGCCUAAACCUGGUCGGUGCCAAGCCUCGUGGCGUUGCCGGUCAGGAGUAGUGGGACCCAACAGAGGGGGCACGAGACCCCUCAGGGAGUUACAAAUCCUCGCUCUAGCAGAAGCGUUCUGGAAAGGCGCGCCAAAGAGGGUAAGAGCCCCGUACGCGAAAGGGCCGAGGACUCCCGUUGGGGAUCCCGAGUAGCGCCGAAACCGGGAAAGUCGGCGUGAAUCUGCGAGGACCACCUCGUAAGGCUAAGUACUCCCAGGCGACCGAUAGCGAACCAGUACCGUGAGGGAAAGGUGAAAAGUACCCCGAGAGGGGAGUGAAAGAGAACCUGAAACCGUUGGUCUACAAGCAGUCAGAGCCCCACGAGGGCGAUGGCGUGCCUUUUGAAGAAUGAGCCAGCGAGUUACCGUAGGUAGCGAGGUUAACCCAUGCGUGGGGGAGCCGAAGCGAAAGCGAGUCUGAACAGGGCGAUGAGAGUUGCCUGCGGUAGACCCGAAGCCGAGUGAUCUAUCCAUGGGCAGGCUGAAGCGGGGGUAAGAUCCCGUGGAGGGCCGAACCCACCCUGGUUGAAAACAGGGGGGAUGACCUGUGGAUAGGGGUGAAAGGCCAAUCAAACUCGGUGAUAGCUGGUUCUCCCCGAAAUGCAUUGAGGUGCAGCGUCAGGCGUUCAGCAUCGGAGGUAGAGCACUGGAUGGGCUAUGGGGGCCCACAGCCUUACUGAUCCCAACCAAACUCCGAAUGCCGAUGCUCUAGAGCCUGGCAGUGAGACCACGGGGGAUGAGCUUCGUGGUCGAGAGGGAAACAGCCCAGACCGCCAGCUAAGGUCCCGAAGUACCGGCUAAGUGGAUAACGAUGUGGAACCGCCCAGACAGCCAGGAGGUUGGCUUAGAAGCAGCCAUCCUUCAAAGAGUGCGUAAUAGCUCACUGGUCGAGUGGUUCCGCGCGGACAAUUCAACGGGGCUAAGCCGGUCACCGAAGCUGCGGGUCCGGUGACGAACGUCACCGGGCGGUAGGGGAGCGUCGAGCGUGCCGUGAAGGUGAGGCGUGAGCCGAGCUGGAGCGCGCUCGAGUGAGAAUGCUGGCAUGAGUAGCGAACGAGGGGUGAGAAUCCCCUCCGCCGAAUGCCUCAGGGUUCCUGGGCAAGGCUCGUCCGCCCAGGGUGAGUCGGGAGCUAAGGCGAGGCCGAACGGCGUAGUCGAUGCACAACCGGUUCAUAGUCCGGUACCGCCCAGAUCGCGUUUGAGCGAUGGAGGGACGCAGGAGGGUAGGUGAUCCCAGGCGUUGGUCGUUCCUGGGGAAAGCGUGUAGGGCGAGGGCCAGGCAAAUCCGGACCUCACGAAGCCUAAGGCGCGAUUCCGAUCCCAUCACGGGAGAAGUCACUGAGCCCAUGCUGCCAAGAAAAGCUUCUAGCGAGCGAUCGGGCGCCCGUACCCCAAACCGACACAGGUAGGCAGGUAGAGCAUACCAAGGCGAGCGGGAGAACUGUGGUUAAGGAACUCGGCAAAUUGCUUCCGUAACUUCGGGAUAAGGAAGGCCUCGGUAGGGUGAAGGGACUCGCUCCCGGAGCCCGAGGAGGUGGCACAGACCAGGGGGAAGCGACUGUUUACUAAAAACACAGCAGCGUGCGAAGUCCAACGACGAUGUAUACGCUGUGACGCCUGCCCGGUGCCGGAAGGUUACGGGGAGGGGUGAGCCCGCAAGGGCGAAGCUCCGAACCUAAGCCCCGGUAAACGGCCGCCGUAACUAUAACGGUGCUAAGGUAGCGAAAUUCCUUGUCGGGUAAGUUCCGACCCGCACGAAUGGCGUAACGACUUCCCCACUGUCUCAACCACAGACCCGGCGAAAUUGAAGUACGAGUAAAGAUGCUCGUUCGCUGCAUCAGGACGGAAAGACCCCGUGGACCUUUACUGUAGCUUGAUGUUGAGCUUUGGUUCCGAUUGUGUAGGAUAGGUGGGAGCCUGCGAAGGGGGAGCGCCAGCUUCCCUGGAGGCGUCCUUGAAAUCCCACCCUGUCGGUGCUGG
Molecule: ribosomal RNA, 2272 nt
Filed under: hot springs metagenome
Description: bacterial LSU rRNA
Rfam family: Bacterial large subunit ribosomal RNA
Source: RNAcentral